Molecule: long non-coding RNA, 592 nt
Organism: Gadus macrocephalus (Pacific cod)
Lineage: Eukaryota; Metazoa; Chordata; Actinopteri; Gadiformes; Gadidae
Exons: 2
Source: RefSeq, a predicted model, not a curated record
UGCAGCUCCAGGGGCACGAGAUCUGAAAGCAGAUCCUCCCCUUCCUGUCUUCUUCCUCCCCUUUGGUUUUCUAAGCUCUGGAUUUACAUUAAAGCUACAAAGGGUGCAGCUAUAAUCCACUUGUAUCGGGUCCCUAUUUGGACGGCCUUCUGUCCUCUAUUUACGGACAGGACAGUGACGAGACACAGAACAGUGGGUAGAAGAAGAGUGAGCUUGACAUGUGGCGUCGGACUGAGGUUGGCGCUGAACCCACCGCUCCAGGGGUCUGGCCACCGGCCCGUCACCAUGAACUUGCAUUUAGCAGGUACAAGAAGAUUGAAGAGAUAGCUCGGGUGUCAGGGACUUGAUGGAUUGAGACCACGCAGCCAGACGGGGAAGAAUAAGACGGUGGGAGGGCUUUUUCUCCCCUUGCCUAGCUUUUAUGUCUCCGGCAGUAUGCUGUUAACUGCCGCAGCCUCCUCACAGGACAGAGGUGAUACAGGAACAUCUGUUGGCCGUUAACACUCGGGGAUCCCAUCGAGGUUCUGGAUCAUCUGAUACUAAGUGAGUGUGGAACUCUGUUUUAUCUGAAGCAUUUGCAUUUUAAAUGGAG